RNAcentral lists this unclassified non-coding RNA (375 nucleotides) under uncultured bacterium. Its description in RNAcentral is "contains 16S-23S intergenic spacer region". The record is from RNAcentral.
UCCGGUUUGUCACCGGCGGUCUCCUUAGAGUUCCCACCAUUACGUGCUGGCAACUAAGGACAAGGGUUGCGCUCGUUGCGGGACUUAACCCAACAUCUCACGACACGAGCUGACGACAACCAUGCACCACCUGUACACCGACCUUGCGGGGCGCCCAUCUCUGAGCGUUUCCGGUGUAUGUCAAGCCUUGGUAAGGUUCUUCGCGUUGCAUCGAAUUAAUCCGCAUGCUCCGCCGCUUGUGCGGGCCCCCGUCAAUUCCUUUGAGUUUUAGCCUUGCGGCCGUACUCCCCAGGCGGGGCGUUUAACGCGUUAGCUCCGGCACGGAAGGGGUCGAUUCCUCCCACACCAAGCGCGCACCGUUUACUGCCAGGACUA